CUGACCACCUUGGAGACUGAAGACCAGUUUAAUCACAGAAGAGAGCCAGAAGCAAUGCAACCUUCCUCAAACAUUCAGCAUGUCUCUCUCAACCCUAACCUGGAAGGACCUCCUCUAAGAAGGAGAGUAUGAUUCAGUUUCAAUGCCCAUUCAGUCCUUGGACUCU
Unclassified non-coding RNA from Chelonoidis abingdonii (Abingdon island giant tortoise), 166 nucleotides. NCBI's taxonomy places the organism in Eukaryota, Metazoa, Chordata, Testudines, Testudinidae. The record is from Ensembl.